GUUUAGCUGGGAUCUCCCGGAGCCCCGCAGCCGGGCCAGCAAGAUCCGAGUGCACCCGCGGGGCAAUCUCUGGGCCACCGACACCUCUUCUUCUCCACUUCCUUCUCUGCCGUUCCCGUCCCUCUUCUAAGCAGACAGCACAACUGGCAGAGUUUCUUCCUGGCCCUGGGGCAUCCCACCCUCCUUCCAGCUGUGCCAUCCCCUCCACCCCAUCUACCUGCUCAGGAAAAGCUGAGGUCACUUCAUGGGCAAGAAGAGUCUGGAGCCCCCCAGCCCAUCCCUAUUGGGGACAGCUCCCCACAUCUCCCUGAGGGACCAGAGACUGCAGCUGAGUCAUGAUCUGCU
Delphinapterus leucas (beluga whale) is the source of this 345-nucleotide non-coding RNA. NCBI's taxonomy places the organism in Eukaryota, Metazoa, Chordata, Mammalia, Artiodactyla, Monodontidae. The record is from RefSeq and is a predicted model, not a curated record.